GUGGAACUCCCUUCCCUCCUCAAUCAGACUUUCACCCAGCCUCCACUCCUUCAAAAAAUCUUUGAAAACUCACUUCUUCAUUAAAGUGUAUCAAUUAAACUAGCAGGUUUCUCAUCCCCCACCCCAUGACUCCGUUCCUGCACCUGUCAAAAAUGACCUACCAAGCACUCCAUAAACCCUUCUGUAACAAACUAUUUAAUUCCCCUACUUUAACCCUUUGUGUCACUAUACCCCACUCCCUCUAGCAUGUAAGCUC
This is a non-coding RNA of Pelobates cultripes (western spadefoot toad), 256 nucleotides long. The record is from the annotation of a GenBank genome assembly. Lineage: Eukaryota; Metazoa; Chordata; Amphibia; Anura; Pelobatidae.